GGAUGACUCAUAGUUUUAUAAAUUAUAACUUUUAGAUGUUGAAAAUUUUAUUUUUUAAUAUGCUAAAUUGAUAAAUUGAAGAGAUUUUUUAAAACUUCUAAAAAUAUGUUUCUUAAACAAGUAAAAUAUUUUCUUAACUUUUAAAAAUCUUUAUUUUGAAAAAUUUUACUUUCAAACAUAGUGUAGAAUGGCUUCAAAAGACAUGUACCACAGGGAAUGCCUCAUGGAAUGAUGGUCCCUCCAAAAGAGAAAAAUUCAAGUUCCAUGCGGGAGAAUCGCUAGUCUGCUGUGUACCAAAUUAACUUUGGGCCAAAGUAAAGUAAAGAAAGAGCGGAUAAUUGAUUGACCAUAUCAGACAUGUAAUGUAAUACUUCAGUGGGGCUGGUGGGAUCAAAUUUUGAAAUUAUGAACCUUAAUUUUUCACCGUUUACCUAACACGCUUCUUGUUAGGGAGGUGGAUGGUGUAAUGAUUUGCAAUCAUGCUCGGAGAGAGCCAAAACACGCCGUGGAUCUACACGCUACAUGAACAAGCAGGAGGUCUUCUCCGGAAUCCUAAGCAACAAUGCCUCUCUAAAUC
This 577-nucleotide unclassified non-coding RNA is filed under the name Hevea brasiliensis (rubber tree). Lineage: Eukaryota; Viridiplantae; Streptophyta; Magnoliopsida; Malpighiales; Euphorbiaceae. The record is from RNAcentral.